Molecule: ribosomal RNA, 253 nt
Filed under: uncultured bacterium
Lineage: Bacteria
Description: partial 16S ribosomal RNA
Rfam family: Bacterial small subunit ribosomal RNA
Source: RNAcentral
UACGUAGGUGGCAAGCGUUAUCCGGAUUUAUUGGGCGUAAAGGGAACGCAGGUGGUCUUUUAAGUCUGAUGUGAAAGCCUUCGGCUUAACCGGAGUAAUGCAUUGGAAACUGGGAGACUUGAGUGCAGAAGAGGAGAGUGGAACUCCAUGUGUAGCGGUGAAAUGCGUAGAUAUAUGGAAGAACACCAGUGGCGAAAGCGGCUCUCUGGUCUGUAACUGACGCUGAGGUUCGAAAGCGUGGGUAGCAAACAGG